AUACGUAGGGUGCGAGCGUUGUCCGGAAUUACUGGGCGUAAAGAGCUCGUAGGUGGUUUGUCGCGUCGUCUGUGAAAUUCCGGGGCUUAACUCCGGGCGUGCAGGCGAUACGGGCAUAACUUGAGUACUGUAGGGGAGACUGGAAUUCCUGGUGUAGCGGUGAAAUGCGCAGAUAUCAGGAGGAACACCGGUGGCGAAGGGGGGUCUCUGGGCAGUAACGGACGCUGAGGAGCGAAAGCAUGGGUAGCGAACAGGAUUAGAUACCCUGGUAGUCCAUGCCGUAAACGGUGGGCGCUAGGUGUAGGGGUCUUCCACGACUUCUGUGCCGUAGCUAACGCAUUAAGCGCCCCGCCUGGGGAGUACGGCCGCAAGGCUAAAACUCAAAUGAAUUGACGGGG
RNAcentral lists this ribosomal RNA (398 nucleotides) under uncultured bacterium. RNAcentral's name for it is "partial 16S ribosomal RNA". It matches the Rfam family "Bacterial small subunit ribosomal RNA", at positions 523 to 918 of the family's 1533-position model. The record is from RNAcentral.